Pistacia vera is the source of this 758-nucleotide long non-coding RNA. RefSeq lists it as uncharacterized. The transcript has 3 exons. The record is from RefSeq and is a predicted model, not a curated record. Lineage: Eukaryota; Viridiplantae; Streptophyta; Magnoliopsida; Sapindales; Anacardiaceae.
UCUUUUGGGUAUGGCAUUUUACCAUCAAACUUUUAACUACAAAAGUUUGUGCAUAAGAUCUUUCUUUUCACUAGUUUAAUCAAUCUUCCAACAAUCAGCCACUUUGCAUUUUUAUAUGAUUUUAUCAGAGAUGCAAGCUUUUGCCUCACUGAUGUCUUGGCUUUUAUCAGUUACGUGGUUAUGUCGUCAAGCUGAUAGCUUGGAAGAUCUUUCAGCUCUACCGAAUAUAUGAUAUUCUUUCUCUACAGAUUUGGUCUCAAAGUUCCUAGCAUACCUUUGUCUAGUUUUCAGAUCUUAGAAACUCUAACAAAAAAUCAAUUGCAAGAAUAGCAUUUUUUUGGAACGAGGGGAUUUGGAAUUUAAGAACAUUGGCCAAGGGGAUGACUGGAAUAACUUCAUCAAGUUGCAGACAUUUUACUGGUUUUAUCUUUCUGGAAGAACUUUUACCUCGUCUGUAGCCAACCUUCUAUUGUUGGUCUCAAUUGCUCUUUUUGGAUAUGGCUUUUUACCAUCAAACAUAUUUGGUCUCAAAGUUCCAAACUACCUUUGUCUAGUUUUGAUAUGAUUCUCCGAAUCAUAAUAAAUACAAUUACUGGUUAAUUAUAGUUAUUUUCUCCCUGUUAUUCUUACAAUUGUUGUAAUAAAUAUUUGUAUUUUGAUGGGUGUAGAUGCAACAUCAACAUUAUGUUGUGCUUUCUCUCUUUUGCUCUAUGCUCGAUAUUUACUUUGUCGAAUUUUGGGCUUACGUUUCGAAAUCG